CCUACGGGAGGCAGCAGUGGGGAAUAUUGGACAAUGGGGGGAACCCUGAUCCAGCGACGCCGCGUGAGUGAAGAAGUAUUUCGGUAUGUAAAGCUCUAUCAGCAGGGAAGAAAGAAAUGACGGUACCUGACUAAGAAGCCCCGGCUAACUACGUGCCAGCAGCCGCGGUAAUACGUAGGGGGCAAGCGUUAUCCGGAUUUACUGGGUGUAAAGGGAGCGUAGACGGCGAUGCAAGUCUGAAGUGAAAGGCGGGGGCCCAACCCCCGGACUGCUUUGGAAACUGUAUGGCUGGAGUGCAGGAGAGGUAAGUGGAAUUCCUAGUGUAGCGGUGAAAUGCGUAGAGAUUAGGAGGAACACCAGUGGCGAAGGCGGCUUACUGGACCGUAACUGACGUUGAGGCUCGAAAGCGUGGGGAGCAAACAGGAUUAGAUACCCCUGUAGUC
This 443-nucleotide ribosomal RNA is filed under the name uncultured bacterium. RNAcentral's name for it is "partial 16S ribosomal RNA". It matches the Rfam family "Bacterial small subunit ribosomal RNA", at positions 338 to 795 of the family's 1533-position model. The record is from RNAcentral.